GGGGGCGUAGCUCAAGAGGAUAGAGCACCGGCCUUCUAAGCCGGGGGUUGCAGGUUCGAUUCCUGCCGCCCCUACCA
Molecule: transfer RNA, 77 nt
Filed under: Acidobacteriota bacterium
Lineage: Bacteria; Pseudomonadati; Acidobacteriota
Description: Acidobacteria bacterium (rhizosphere metagenome) tRNA-Arg
Rfam family: tRNA
About the family: Transfer RNA (tRNA) molecules are approximately 80 nucleotides in length. Their secondary structure includes four short double-helical elements and three loops (D, anti-codon, and T loops).
Source: RNAcentral